RNAcentral lists this long non-coding RNA (229 nucleotides) under Hordeum vulgare. RNAcentral's name for it is "long non-coding RNA (HVUL_LNC001447)". The record is from RNAcentral. Lineage: Eukaryota; Viridiplantae; Streptophyta; Magnoliopsida; Poales; Poaceae.
CAUAGAAGAAGGGGCGGAAGAGAAAGCGGGCGACGAACGCCAAGCCGACCAAACCCCGUGUCAAGUGGACAUCCAAGGAAGACGAGUGCCUUGCCGAAGCGUGGAAGACUGUCAGCAUCAACCCGAUCACCGGCACAAAUCAGAACAACGGCACGUACUGGGGAGAAUCAAAACGACGUUCGACGAACGCAAGCUGGUUGACCCCGACUUUGCGAGCAUCCACAUGGAC